UGCAACUUACAGGUGUUGGUCAUAUAAUUAGAAUAUCAUGAAAAAGUUGAUUUAUGUCAGUAAUUCCAUUCAAAAAGUGAAAUUUGUACAAUGCAGACAUUCA
Long non-coding RNA from Etheostoma spectabile (orangethroat darter), 103 nucleotides. RefSeq lists it as uncharacterized. Lineage: Eukaryota; Metazoa; Chordata; Actinopteri; Perciformes; Percidae. The transcript is spliced from 3 exons. The record is from RefSeq and is a predicted model, not a curated record.